Molecule: ribosomal RNA, 254 nt
Filed under: uncultured bacterium
Lineage: Bacteria
Description: partial 16S ribosomal RNA
Rfam family: Bacterial small subunit ribosomal RNA
Source: RNAcentral
GACGAACCGUGCGAACGUUAUUCGGAAUCAUUGGGCUUAAAGGGCGCGUAGGCGGCGGCGUAAGUUCGUGGUGAAAUCCCAUCGGCUCAACCGUGGAAUCGCUUCGAAUACUGCGUCGCUAGAGUGGGAUAGGGGACCGCAGAACUGCCGGUGGAGCGGUGAAAUGUGUUGAUAUCGGCGGGAAUGCCAGUGCCGAAAGGGGCGGUCUGGACCCUCACUGACGCUGAGGCGCGAAAGCUAGGGGAGCAAACGGG